GGCAGCUUGGCCGAGCGGUUAUGGCACCAGUUACGGGUACACAUAUUCUCCUGAGUCGAAAGAGCGUGGGUUCGAGUCCCACAAUUACCA
RNAcentral lists this transfer RNA (90 nucleotides) under Blumeria graminis f. sp. tritici. It matches the Rfam family "tRNA". Rfam says of the family: Transfer RNA (tRNA) molecules are approximately 80 nucleotides in length. Their secondary structure includes four short double-helical elements and three loops (D, anti-codon, and T loops). Further hydrogen bonds mediate the characteristic L-shaped molecular structure. tRNAs have two regions of fundamental functional importance: the anti-codon, which is responsible for specific mRNA codon recognition, and the 3' end, to which the tRNAs corresponding amino acid is attached (by aminoacyl-tRNA synthetases). tRNAs cope with the degeneracy of the genetic code in two manners: having more than one tRNA (with a specific anti-codon) for a particular amino acid; and 'wobble' base-pairing, i.e. permitting non-standard base-pairing at the 3rd anti-codon position. The record is from Rfam by way of RNAcentral. RNAcentral also lists the same sequence under 1 other name. Lineage: Eukaryota; Fungi; Ascomycota; Leotiomycetes; Helotiales; Erysiphaceae.